CCAAUAGCGUAUAUUAAAGUUGCUGCAGUUAAAAAGCUCGUAGUUGAAUUUCGGGACUAAUAUGUCGGUCGUGCCUAGGUACGUACUGGUAUUUUUGGUUUCUCCCUUCUGACGAACCUUGAUGUCAUUAAUUUGGUGUCUUGGGAAAUCAGGACUGUUACUUUGAAAAAAUUAGAGUGUUUAAAGCAGGCUCACGCUUGAAUACAUUAGCAUGGAAUAAUGAAAUAGGACGUUUGAUUCUAUUUUGUUGGUUUCUAGGAUCGACGUAAUGAUUAAUAGGGAUAGUUGGGGGCAUUAGUAUUCAAUUGUCAGAGGUGAAAUUCUUGGAUUUAUUGAAGACUAACUACUGCGAAAGCAUUUGCCAAGGAUGUUUUCAUUAAUCAAGAACGAAAGUUAGGGGAUCGAAGACGAUCAGAUACCGUCGUAGUCUUAACCAUAAACUAUGCCGACUAGGGAUCGGAUGAUGUUAAUUUUUUAAUGACUCAUUCGGCGCCUUACG
RNAcentral lists this ribosomal RNA (499 nucleotides) under uncultured Glomus. Its description in RNAcentral is "SSU rRNA". It matches the Rfam family "Eukaryotic small subunit ribosomal RNA", at positions 591 to 1092 of the family's 1831-position model. Lineage: Eukaryota; Fungi; Glomeromycota; Glomeromycetes; Glomerales; Glomeraceae. The record is from RNAcentral.